AUAAAACACAUAAGAUUGAACUACGUUAUUUUGUAAGAACUAAUAUUGAACAUAUCAUUAAUUAAAUUAACGUAAUUUUGUAUAUAUUAAAAAAUUUAAUUAUAAUACGGAACUGAAUGGAAUCGGACCAAACCAACCCGACGGUUCCACUUACUAAAUACCCGAAAAUUUCGAGUCAGUUCGAUUCUCGUUAGAACCGAACGGAACCGGAUCAUGUCCAGCCCUAGUCUUGGGUGCUUCAAUUUCUGUGAACGUUUGGAGUAUAUUAAUAGAUGGAUUCUGUAAGUCUGGGCGGAUUGAUAUUGCAGCUUAUCUACUUGAGAAGAUGUUGGAGAGUGGGUGUUCUCCAAACAUUGUCACAUGCACACCUAUAAUUAAGGAGAUUCUUGGAAUCUCAAAUGUACAUCACGGCAUUUGAGAUCCUUAAUGCUCUGGAAUUGGAAGGAUGUUAUUCUGAUUUGGUUCUUUCCAAUGUGUUGAUAGAUUGUCUCUCUAAGAUGGGGAUGUAUGAUGAUGCAUUUGAAGUUUUCUCCAGUUUGAGAGAACGACAACUAAUACUUGAUGUUUUGCUUCUCUGAUGUCAACUAUUUUGCUUGUCUAGACAAUACGUUCUUCUACUUUUGCUAAUAAGUGGCCUGGCUAUAGAACCUGACUUGGUAGUAUGUAAUUCUCUUCUUAGCUAUUUUUGUAAAGCUGGUUAUCCGGAAGGUGCCAUGGAUUUUAUAUCAAUAUUAUAGAUAGAGGGUUUACACCAGAUAAAUAUAGUUUUUCUGGAUUACUUAGUGCACUGUGCAGUUUGGGUAGGAUACAAGAAGCAGUUAAUGUGUAUUGUGAAAUUGUUCGAACUCAUCCUUACAUUUUAUGCUCACAUCCAUACUAUAAUUGUCAAUGGGCUUAUAAAUUCAGGUCACCCAUUUAGAGCAACCAGAUUAUUCAAAAAAGCAGCUACAGAGUUUCCACUUCAUGUUGUGUCAUAAAAUGUCGCCAUUGGCGGACUUAUCAGGAGUAGUCAAAUGGGAGAGGCUUAUGCUUUGUUUAGCCGAAUGAAGCAGAUGGCUGUACCUCCAAACAAGCACACAUAUAAUUUAAUACUCUCUGAUUUGUGUAAGAAUUGAGACGUAAAGACGAUCAAAUCUAUCAUACAUGAAAUGAUUGGUAGGAAUAUUGAAAUAGACAACGAUGCAUGUAGUUUAAUGAAGUACCUUGGGUAUAAAUCACACAAUCUUCCAAGAUUGCGGCAAAGGAAGGCAGAUUCCUUAUGGAAUAAUGGACGUGAUACUGGUGCAUAUGGUAGUAAUGAGGAUUUAUGAAAUGUAAUCAAUGUUCUAGACAAUAGCACAUCAAGCUGGGAUGACCUCCAGGAUGCAGCUGUUUCUGUGUGUUGAGAAAAAAUUGAGGAAAUUGGUUGUUCGUUCAGUGAAUUGUGUUUCUCGAAUUCAUAAAGCAUCACAUCUUCUUUUCCAUGGAUCGAUUAGAGUGGUUCUUUAAAGGUACUGCAUCUAUCUCUUCGCAUAUAUCAUGUCACAUUUGUCUAGACAAUAUUAGGCUUUUGUAUAAGUUUACAGCUUCAGGUGAACUAUAGGAUAUGCUAUCCAUCAAUGUAUUUCAUGAUGAACAUGUCUGGCAUCUUAUGUUUAAAUUAGUUUGUAAAUACGGAAAGUAAUCUAACUCUAUUUGCUUAAUUCUUUGAAUAAAAUAAAUUAUCUAUUUUCCAUCAUAAAAAAACCUGUUAGAAAUCUAAAUUGUGAUUUAUUGUUCAUAAUUGCUUGUUUCAAAUGUUCUUAGGAACUUGAAGCAUUUUCUAUUCAUUGGCUUUCACAGGCCAUACAUUUGGAGAGACACUUUUUGAUAUUGAUACUAGGCCCCUGUUUGGUAAACAUCCUUUCAAAACUCUUUAUUUCUCAUACUCAUUUUUAACCGCACAUUCUCACAGUUAAAUAUUCUUUAUGAAAAUCCAAAAUAUUUCCUACUUCUAACCACACAUACUCCAAAAAAUAACAAUUCAAAAACUUAUUCUUUAUGAAAAUGGCUGUCAAACUGGGGCUAGAUUUUGAAUUGACAUUAUGUACUGUAUAUGAGUUACUGAUGUGAAAGUUGUGUAUCCGAUUGUACAUUUAUCAACUAGAUAAUAAUAAUUAUAAUUCUUGCAUGAUGAUUAUAUCUUGCUGCAUCAUCAGGAAU
Molecule: long non-coding RNA, 2181 nt
Filed under: Olea europaea subsp. europaea
Lineage: Eukaryota; Viridiplantae; Streptophyta; Magnoliopsida; Lamiales; Oleaceae
Source: RNAcentral